ACAGACGUCUUGUCCUAGACCAGCUGGCUCGGGGAGGCCGGGCCUCUGCAAGGCUCCUGCCGGCACCUGGCAGGGAGCCACCUCCUGGGAGGGGAGGACCGCUCCAGGUUCUGUGCCGCCCACAGGUUCCCAGCACUCUCCAGAGAAGAAAUAAAAGGCCAGAUGACGAGUUCAUUUGGAAUUAGAAGCUGGUGCUGAGCCCCUCAGAGGAGCGGCACCAUAUGGCUCCUCAGCCCCCUCUUCACUGCCCAGGUUGUGAGUCCCUGAGAGCCCUUCUGAUCGAGCGCCUGAGCCAGGCCCUCUCUGCCACUGUCCACAGCUGGCCCAGGUUGGAGUCUUCCCUGCACCGUCCGUGUCAUGGCCAGGGAGACCCGCACCCCAGCCCAGCUCGAACAUGCUCCAUGCCUGUGUCCUCAGCAAGUUACAUUCACCACGCAGAAGCCUCAUUGGAAGAUCGGGGCAAUGCAGUGAGAGCGUAGGCAGAGCAUUUGCCCCCGAAUAGCAACACAUGACAUGAAUGUAAUCAGUAUGUUAUCUAGCCUGGCAUACUCCACAUGGAACAAUCCAGAGGCUUCCUGGACUUCCUUCCAUUUGAAAAUGCAGGGCAACACUGUCAGCUUGUAGAGUUAGACCGAACCCCGCCCCUCCUCACUCAUCUCAGUCUAACCAAGAGGGUGGCAAGGAAAAAAAUGCUACUUGAGCUAGUUUGAUUGCAGAGAUAAAAUGGAAAAUUAUAUAAAGGUGUGAUGCUUUCUCCAGAAACCCAGCAGUACCCCCGGGCCUCACGAGGAAACGGAGCCUGCCGCUGAAAGGUGAUCUGACUUACAAUGAGUUGAUCAAGCCGUCUGCAAGCCUGGUUCAGUCCAGGAGAAAAAGUUACCCUCUCAUGUUGGCUUCUGUGUUUCC
This is a long non-coding RNA of Myotis daubentonii (Daubenton's bat), 906 nucleotides long. RefSeq lists it as uncharacterized. Lineage: Eukaryota; Metazoa; Chordata; Mammalia; Chiroptera; Vespertilionidae. The record is from RefSeq and is a predicted model, not a curated record.